Long non-coding RNA from Zea mays, 1779 nucleotides. RefSeq lists it as uncharacterized. The record is from RefSeq and is a predicted model, not a curated record. The transcript has 3 exons. Lineage: Eukaryota; Viridiplantae; Streptophyta; Magnoliopsida; Poales; Poaceae.
AUUUCCUUAUUAUUAAAGCCGGUCCAAACCGCCUCUUUCUAGCCCAUCCACGUCGUCCAAAAUCUUUGUGUCCAUUCGAUCGUGUAUCAUUGGCCCACCUUCAUCGCGUGCUCUCCCGUGCACUUCUCGUUCCUGUCUCCUCUGGAGACUUCUAGUUCUAGUGAUGCUUCCUCGCUCCGUCUCUCUUCCUCCUCACUCCCUCCGUCCGGCCUCAAUAGCACAUGAAAAGAAAUCCUUCGAGAUGACGCUGGGUUAUACAUCGAGCUCAGCCCCAACGCUUCUACUUCUCUCUAACUGCUUGUCGCCAGGAUCCCCAUCGCCCAUCCCCUCAAACACCUUUGCCCGGCCACCGCGUCGGCCACGGCCAAGUAGAAGGCGGUGACGACGUCGCCGCUUAGGGACUUCAAUGGCAACUCUAUCCCUCUCGAGCUCCUGCUCCCCUCCGCUCGCGUCCGCCUCCGCAUCACCCGACAUAGUUGUGGUCGCUUCGCUUGUCGCUGCUGCGGCAUCAGCCACGAUGCCUUCCUUCGAACCCGCUGCGCCACGCCGUCCAGCAUCGUCUCCAACGUUGUUCACACGCGCUCCCUUGGUGGCGCCCAUCAGAUCUGGUCCAGGAAACACAUGGGACACCACGCAGUACAACAGGUCAUCCCGGGAGACGGCGGCAAAAGUGAGAUCCGCGUCGCAUGAAGCGUUGGGGAAGGGAGAGCCAGGGAGAUGCCAUAUAGAGACCUAAUUUGAAGCUCCUUCCCGUGUCGUAUGUAUAGUGAGAUCUCCAUAAACAAUGGACAAGGGUGAAGGACUGAUGGUUGGAAUGGGUGGUGGUAACAGGAUGAUGACUACAUUCAUUGAUGUAUAGGUACCAACAACUCAUUCUUUUUUGAAUAUGUGGAAACUUGGAUCUUUGUUCGCACAAUUUAUUAGUGAUGCUUAUGUUUCACAAGAAAUAGGUUUCAGACCAAUAUAUUCAAGUAUCGUGUAUGAUACGUGUAAUGUCAAAUAAAAUUUACUAUUACUUUGACUUUUUUGUUACUUCAUAUGUCCUAGACCAUCCCUUUUUGGUGCUCACCCUAGGCAUCAAGUAUGUAUUGUGCGCCUUUUUAGUUAUAUGUUAAUUUUCUUUUUUUCUGACUGCAUCAAAAUCUGAUAUUGUUCUUUUACAAAACUAGGUUCUCAAAGAACAUGGAGUGGUUGUUUUGGUCAGUGAUAUCGAGAAGACUUCACCAGAUAUGCCUAUUCAUUCUUUCAAAAACAAUUUGUGUAAAUAAAAUAACCUAAUUUCAAACGUUAAAACAUGCAUAACUAGCUCCUAUCAAAAUUUACCUAACUCUAUUUUAGAUGGUCUUAUUUGCUUUAGAACCAACUAUUGUCUUCAACCUUGUCACGGACCAAGGUACGAAAGUUCGAUGACCUGUGCCGCGUGUUGCUCCUGAUCUGUACACCUCAUGAUUUUGGUCGAUGCAGUUAGGAAAUUUUCUUAGGUCAAUUCAAAUUAUAUUAUAUAGAACUAUGUUUGUGCAAUGCAUUGUAGUGAGAGUUAUGUUAAUCAAAUUAUUUACUUCGGAAGGCUUGCUGGAAGGUAAGUUGAUUUGUUCGGAGGUAGGACAGUAAGAUAUGUGUGCUGGCUUAGAGUAGCUUGUGCUUGUCUGGUGGUUCUAGAAAGAUUAGCUUGUCUGGAGGUAUAAUGACAUAAACUUCAGUAUUAUACAUGGCCUUCUUAACCUCUGUUCAUUUUCCGACCACCGUAAUUGUAAUAUUUGUUGUAAAGUGCAUACAAUU